Molecule: RNA transcript, 4108 nt
Organism: Numida meleagris (helmeted guineafowl)
Lineage: Eukaryota; Metazoa; Chordata; Aves; Galliformes; Numididae
Gene: FAM76A
Gene name: family with sequence similarity 76 member A
Exons: 11
Source: RefSeq, a predicted model, not a curated record
UUACAUCACAGCAGCGCCCCGCGUGACGUCAGCGCCCCUCUCCGUUUCCCCAACGCCCGCGGAGGGGAAAGGGCGGAAGGGAGGAGGAGGCGGCCCUGCUCCGCCCCAUUUCUAGAGUGGCGUCUGCCUAAACCAAUAAAAAGCCGUAUAGUUCUGAGCGAUGCGGAAGGCAGCCAAUGAGAGGGGAGAGACGGCCGGUGGGGGGCGGAGCGAGCGGACGGGCGGCCGCGGCGGUUUGGGCUGCGCCUGUCAGCGCGGCGGCGGGAUGGCGGCGCUGUACGCCUGCACCAAGUGCCACCAGCGCUUCCCCUUCGAGGCGCUCAGCCAGGGCCAGCAGCUCUGCAAGGAGUGCCGGAUUGCGCAUCCCAUUGUUAAAUGCACUUACUGCAGGACUGAAUUCCAGCAGGAAAGCAAAACCAACACGAUAUGCAAGAAGUGUGCUCAGAACGUGAAGCUCUAUGGCACACCAAAACCUUGCCAGUACUGCAACAUCAUCGCAGCGUUUAUUGGCAACAAGUGUCAGCGUUGCACAAACUCAGAAAAGAAGUACGGACCUCCACACUCCUGUGAGCAGUGCAAGCAGCAGUGUGCCUUCGACAGGAAGGAUGACAGAAAGAAGGUGGAUGGAAAGCUGCUCUGCUGGUUAUGCACACUGUCCUACAAACGGGUCCUACAGAAGACCAAAGAGCAGUGCAAGCACCUGAGCAGCUCCUCCCGAGCCAGCCUGCAAGAGAAGGAACAAUACAGCAGGCUCAGCAGCGGCAGCCAUUAUAACAGCCAGAAAACCUUAUCCACCUCUUCUAUUCAGAAUGAAAUCCCAAAGAAGAAAGCCAAGUUUGAUGCCAUAUCUGCCAAUGGUGACAGCGUUCCUUCCUCUCCCGAGAUGCUUUGCCCCCCUAUCCAGAGUGCCCCGUCCACGUUGGCGCAGUGGGCUGCUUCCCAACAGAGUCUCGGUGCCCACCAUUGUCCUGUUUCUCAAGGCACUGACAUCCUGAAUUUUUCUCCGGACCUCGCCUUGGACUCUCCUGGCACUGACCACUUUGUUAUCAUUGCCCAGCUGAAGGAGGAGGUGGCUACUUUAAAGAAGAUGCUGCACCAGAAAGAUCAGAUGAUUUUGGAGAAGGAGAAGAAGAUCACGGAGCUGAAGGCCGACUUGCAGUACCAGGAGUCGCAGAUGAGAGCAAAGAUGAACCAAAUGGAGAAGACGCACAAGGAGGUCAUGGAGCAGUUACAGUGGUUUCCCGAGGCCAGGCACGCCGGUCACUCUGUGCAUGGAGGAGUAUAUAUCCUUCCUGAUGCUGCCUUUGCUGUAGUUAAAAGAGCAUGUCUGUCUUGAAAGCUCUCAGACACCUUCCAACAGCCUUAAACUUGCUCAAUUCUGUACAUCAGAUCCAUGAGCGGGUUGGCCACCCUCCUCUGCUGGGUGGAGAGGGGCUUGCAUGUCUGUCCCCUGUGGUGCUGUCCCGUCCUUAGCUCGGUGGGACUGCCCUGACCUCCUCCUUUCUGCUGUCUGAAUGUUCUACUUCAGCUGCUGUUGACUGAGGCUCUGGAAACUUUCCUUGCUGAUUCCAAAAUAAAAGUUCGAAUCGUCUCGGUGUACUGUAGGUGCCUGGAAGCGUUCAUACGAUUCACUUUUUUCAACGUGCUCCUGGUUUAUUUUGUCCUGGUUUCUUUUUCAUUGUGGGGGGAAGCAGGGAGACUGUGUUCUUCCAGCACGCAGGAGGCAAAAGAAGCUGCUUUAUCACAUGCAGCGCUGGAGCUGAGGGUUUAAUUGCUCUAAUAACGUUUGCAUAUCCAAUCAUUCACUGCAAACUGGUGCAGAAGGGCUGUAUCUGGUUUUGCAUGGGUUCUCCCCUUACCCUGCUGAAAUAGCACAAAUUACUAUGUAGGCUGCAGGUGAGCGAGCUCGGAAGUUUGGUAAAAGAGAUGAAGAGCCUUGUUUGCCAAGAACAGAGAACUCCUGAAGCAAGCAGCUGCCCUAUCCAAGGGCAAAAAGCCUGAGAAGUCGGGAGCAAUAACAUCCCCUUAAAACCAAACCCCCAGUGUGGGAGCUUUCCCCAGCAUUAGCCAAGGAGUCUAGGAGGCCUGCCUGAUCGCUGGAAGCCACAACCUCAGUGUUGUCACUAUCCCACUGCUGUGGACUCGAUGGAAACGCCCGGGGUGUGUUGCCUUUCGACAGCAUGCUUGAGUGUGUCUGGUUUCGGUCUCUGAAUUGUGUUCUGUAUCAUGGCGAUCCAUGGGGAGAGGUCCCAGCCACCCUAAGUCCCCCCCGAAGUACUGCUUACUGGAAGAACUGACCAGUUACUACCACUGCCAACUCUUUCUAUUAGCAAACAGGAACCUGCUGCAUUACAGCCUGCUUGCUGGUUUCAGACCUGCUGCUGUGAGGCAAUAGCCGUGGCCAGUUGUUACGCAGAUGAGACAGGAGCUGUGUGGUGGGAGCUUGAUUUUUCUCGAACUGUUCCCUCUUGGAAAGGAAGCCGAUCAAUCACCAGCCCGACAGCUGUUACUGGAAGGUGCUGCCACUGCUGAGAACGGUUCGUCCAUCCUCUUGAAAAGGCUUCCAAAAUGGGGGCUAUCUAUUUAUCUUGGAGGGUUGGUGGGUUUGGGUUUUGUGUUUUUUGGGGUUUUUUUUGUGUCGUUUUUCUUCUUUUUUCUUUUCUUUUUUUUUUUUUUUUUUCCUCUUUUUUUUUUUUUUUUUUUUCCGACGUCAGCUUGACAAACUUGACUGCUGGGUUUUGGUUUUAUUUUUAUUUUUAUUUUUCUCGUUUCGUUACGAUCGCUUUCGGGUUGCCAGCCAGAGGGGAACGAUGCCUCCCCAGAGCCGCCUCGUCCCCCGGUGCCGUGGUCACGUAGUGGCCUCCAGGGCUUGAUAUGAUCGAGCAUUUACUCCGUUUCUUUACAUGAGGACAGUUCAAGGCUCGGCUGUUGCCUGCGCUCCCUCAGAGCCCGCGCCGAGUUCGCCCUCUCCCCCCCCUUCCCCUGCCCCUCUGCUCCCUUCCAGAUGCAGAAGCAGGGGCCAGGUUGGCUCCAGGAAAGUGCUUACUGAGGCAGCGUCCCAAGCCAGGAAGCAUUUCUCGGGACUCUCCGGGGACAUUUCUCACUGCCAACCCAAAGCCGGCAGAAUAAAAGGGCUACGAAAGUUCCCUGCAACGGGGCCGUGCUUCUCAGAAACGGGACGAGCGGAGCCCGCGGCCCCUUCCACCGAGGCCGGCGGGGGCGGGCGCUCCCCAGGCGCCUCGGGGGGCACGGGAAGCCCUUGGCACUGGGGGGAAACGGCAGCAGUGCUCCGUGACAUCCCAGCCCCCAGCUCCGUGCGGGGCAUGAAGAAACAGCUCAGGGUUCGGAGACCCUCGGGGCGGAGGGGGAGGGGGUGACACCUUAGUGCGGAGCAGUGCCAGUGGUAGGUAGUGAAAAGGAGAAGCUGCCCUCUGAGGCAGGGCUGCUUGCUCUGCCGGGGUUUUUAUGAAGCUUUUAACUAGACUUUGUGAUAGGGUUUUUUUUUUUUUUUUCCCUGCUUUUUUUUUUUUUUUUUUUGUUACUAAAGAUGACUUUACUCAAAGGCACUUUUUGAUGAUGUUGGCUUCCGGCAUGGAAGGAGCACGCUGCAGCAUCAGACACUCUGCCACAUCUUUGGUUUGUUCUCUUUGCUUUUUUUACAAGAGACUUCUGAAGUGAGGGAAAGGGAAAGAAUUUAAAAAAAAAAAAAAAAAAAAAAAAAAAGGGGUUGUUACGCUUUGCCAGAGUGUGACAGCUGGAAAAUCCUCACCUAAUUUUAUACUUCACACGUUUUUAGAAAAUGAGGUGCAUUGGUGGGAUUUUUUUUUAAACGGGGGCUUUGCUUUUUUCUGCUUCCCUCAAGAAACAGAUACACGGAGGGAGGAAGGCCCUGUGUAUCCUAUUAAGGGUUUCUGUUGUUUUGUUUCUCUCUCUCUCUCUCCUUUUUUUUUUUUUUUUUUCUAAAUGGUGACAAAAAGUUGAGUAGCCGAUGAUUUGUAGUAAGAACAUUGUUUUCUUUGUAUGUUUGUAAUAAUGGAGAUUUUAAAAAAGGGAUGCUUUGAUUUGUACCAAACUCUGACACAUGUUAAAGCGUUUUCAAAAAUCCUCA